Molecule: ribosomal RNA, 473 nt
Filed under: uncultured Glomus
Lineage: Eukaryota; Fungi; Glomeromycota; Glomeromycetes; Glomerales; Glomeraceae
Description: SSU rRNA
Rfam family: Eukaryotic small subunit ribosomal RNA
Source: RNAcentral
AGCAGCCGCGGUAAUUCCAGCUCCAAUAGCGUAUAUUAAAGUUGUUGCAGUUAAAAAGCUCGUAGUUGAAUUUCGGGAUCAAUAUAUUGGUCGUGCCUUCGGUAUGCACUGGUAUUAUUGAUUUCUACCUUCUGACGAACCAUGAUGUCAUUAAUUUGGUGUCAUGGGGAAUCAGGACUGUUACUUUGAAAAAUUAGAGUGUUUAAAGCAGGCACACGCUUGAAUACAUUAGCAUGGAAUAAUGAAAUAGGACGUUUGAUCUUAUUUUGUUGGUUUCUAGGAUCGACGUAAUGAUUAAUAGGGAUAGUUGGGGGCAUUAGUAUUCAAUUGUCAGAGGUGAAAUUCUUGGAUUUAUUGAAGACUAACUACUGCGAAAGCAUUUGCCAAGGAUGUUUUCAUUAAUCAAGAACGAAAGUUAGGGGAUCGAAGACGAUCAGAUACCGUCGUAGUCUUAACCAUAAACUAUGCCGACU